RNAcentral lists this ribosomal RNA (497 nucleotides) under uncultured bacterium. RNAcentral describes it as "partial 16S ribosomal RNA". It matches the Rfam family "Bacterial small subunit ribosomal RNA", at positions 28 to 507 of the family's 1533-position model. The record is from RNAcentral.
GAUGAACGCUGGCGGCGUGCCUAAUACAUGCAAGUCGAGCGGACAGAUAAGGAGCUUGCUCCUUUGACGUUAGCGGCGGACGGGUGAGUAACACGUGGAUAACCUACCUAUAAGACUGGGAUAACUUCGGGAAACCGGAGCUAAUACCGGAUAACAUAUUGAACCGCAUGGUUCAAUAGUGAAAGGCGGCUUUGCUGUCACUUAUAGAUGGAUCCGCGCCGUAUUAGCUAGUUGGUAAGGUAACGGCUUACCAAGGCAACGAUACGUAGCCGACCUGAGAGGGUGAUCGGCCACACUGGAACUGAGACACGGUCCAGACUCCUACGGGAGGCAGCAGUAGGGAAUCUUCCGCAAUGGGCGAAAGCCUGACGGAGCAACGCCGCGUGAGUGAUGAAGGUCUUCGGAUCGUAAAACUCUGUUAUCAGGGAAGAACAAAUGUGUAAGUAACUGUGCACAUCUUGACGGUACCUGAUCAGAAAGCCACGGCUAACUACGUG